UACGUAGGGUGCGAGCGUUGUCCGGAAUUACUGGGCGUAAAGAGCUCGUAGGUGGUUUGUCGCGUUGUUCGUGAAAACCUGAGGCUUAACCUUGGGCGUGCGGGCGAUACGGGCAGACUGGAGUACUGCAGGGGAGACUGGAAUUCCUGGUGUAGCGGUGAAAUGCGCAGAUAUCAGGAGGAACACCGAUGGCGAAGGCAGGUCUCUGGGCCACUACUGACGCUGAGAAGCGAAAGCAUGGGGAGCGAACAGG
This 253-nucleotide ribosomal RNA is filed under the name uncultured bacterium. RNAcentral describes it as "partial 16S ribosomal RNA". It matches the Rfam family "Bacterial small subunit ribosomal RNA", at positions 524 to 776 of the family's 1533-position model. The record is from RNAcentral.